This 253-nucleotide ribosomal RNA is filed under the name uncultured bacterium. RNAcentral describes it as "partial 16S ribosomal RNA". It matches the Rfam family "Bacterial small subunit ribosomal RNA", at positions 524 to 776 of the family's 1533-position model. The record is from RNAcentral.
UACGAAGGGUGCAAGCGUUGCUCGGAAUUAUUGGGCGUAAAGGGUAGGUAGGUGGUCUCAUUUGUCAGGGGUGAAAGCCUUGGGCUUAACCCAAGAAGUGCCCCUGAAACGGUGAGACUAGAGUCUUGGAGAGGGUCGUGGAAUUCCCAGUGUAGCGGUGAAAUGCGUAGAGAUUGGGAGGAACACCAGAGGCGAAGGCGGCGACCUGGACAAGCACUGACACUCAACUACGAAAGCGUGGGUAGCAAACAGG